CUGAGGUGGUGCUAUCGUCCUCUUUCGAUGCAAAAUGUUCCUUGAUGCGGAGGCUCCUGGCAAAAUUAUCCAGUUCAUCAGACAAUUUAGUAUCAUUCACUGGACUUGGGACUGGACAAAAGUUUAGGCCUCUGGAUAGUAGUGAAGUUUCGUCCUCAGUAAGUUGUUUGCUGGAGAGAUUAACAACGGUAUUGAUCUUAUUGCUGAGGACUUGAGGUCUACGUCUGAAAUGUCUGUUUUUGGUUUUAUUAUUAUUUUUUUCUUUUGUACUAAUGGAUGGGAAAGAAGUACCAUCCCGUUGAAAUUUGCAUCUUUGUCUGGAGCGGAGAGUGGCGGUCUUAGUGUUGGUUAUAUAUCGCAGGCGCUCUUGGAUGUUCUCGAAUUCGCUUGCUGUUAGAUCUUUUUUGCAAGCGUGAGAC
Molecule: long non-coding RNA, 419 nt
Filed under: Mytilus galloprovincialis (Mediterranean mussel)
Lineage: Eukaryota; Metazoa; Mollusca; Bivalvia; Mytilida; Mytilidae
Source: RNAcentral